AGCAUAUCAAUAAGCGGAGGAAAAGAAACCAACAGGGAUUGCCCUAGUAACGGCGAGUGAAGCGGCAACAGCUCAAAUUUGAAAUCUGGCCCUCGGGUCCGAGUUGUAAUUUGUAGAGGAUGCUUUUGGUGCGGUGCCUUCCGAGUUCCCUGGAACGGGACGCCAUAGAGGGUGAGAGCCCCGUCUGGUUGGACACCAAUCCUCUGUAAAGCUCCUUCGACGAGUCGAGUAGUUUGGGAAUGCUGCUCUAAAUGGGAGGUAUAUGUCUUCUAAAGCUAAAUAUUGGCCAGAGACCGAUAGCGCACAAGUAGAGUGAUCGAAAGAUGAAAAGCACUUUGAAAAGAGAGUUAAACAGUACGUGAAAUUGUUGAAAGGGAAGCGCUUAUGACCAGACUUGGGCUUGGUAGAUCAACCUGGGUUCUCCCUGGUGCACUCUUCCUCGUCCAGGCCAGCAUCAGUUCGCUGCGGGGGAUAAAGGCUUCGGGAAUGUGGCUCCCUCGGGAGUGUUAUAGCCCGUUGCGUAAUACCCUGCGGUGGACUGAGGUUCGCGUUCUGCAAGGAUGCUGGCGUAAUGGUCAUCAGCGACCCGUCUUGAAACACGGACCAAGGAGUCGUCUUCGUAUGCGAGUGUUCGGGUGUUAAACCCCUACGCGUAAUGAAAGUGAACGCAGGUGAGAGCUUCGGCGCAUCAUCGACCGAUCCUGAUGUUCUCGGAUGGAUUUGAGUAAGAGCAUACGGGGCCGGACCCGAAAGAAGGUGAACUAUGCCUGUAUAGGGUGAAGCCAGAGGAAACUCUGGUGGAGGCUCGCAGCGGUUCUGACGUGCAAAUCGAUCGUCAAAUAUGGGCAUGGGGGCGAAAGACUAAUCGAACCUUCUAGUAGCUGGUUUCCGCC
This 893-nucleotide ribosomal RNA is filed under the name Mariannaea sp. PGP10. Its description in RNAcentral is "LSU rRNA". It matches the Rfam family "Eukaryotic large subunit ribosomal RNA", at positions 37 to 962 of the family's 3401-position model. Lineage: Eukaryota; Fungi; Ascomycota; Sordariomycetes; Hypocreales; Nectriaceae. The record is from RNAcentral.